RNAcentral lists this ribosomal RNA (275 nucleotides) under uncultured bacterium. Its description in RNAcentral is "partial 16S ribosomal RNA". It matches the Rfam family "Bacterial small subunit ribosomal RNA", at positions 337 to 609 of the family's 1533-position model. The record is from RNAcentral.
UCCUACGGGGGGCAGCAGUGAGGAAUAUUGGUCAAUGGCCGGAAGGCUGAACCAGCCAAGCCGCGUGAAGGACGAAGGUGCCAAGCAUUGUAAACUUCUUUUGUCAAGGGACAAAAUCAGGCUCGAGAGCCUGACCGAGGGUACUUGAAGAAAAAGCAUCGGCUAACUCCGUGCCAGCAGCCGCGGUAAUACGGAGGAUGCGAGCGUUAUCCGGAUUUAUUGGGUUUAAAGGGUGUGUAGGCGGACUGUUAAGUGAGGGGUAAAAGAUUGGGGCU